UCACCCCUCCUUGUUUAUCCCGCCUAUAUACCACCGUCGUCAGCUUACCCUGCGAAGAUCCAACAGUAAGCACAAUUGGCACAGCCCAAAACGUCAGGUCGAGGUGUAGCGUAUGGAGGGGGAAGAAAUGGGCUACAUUCCCUACCUCAGGGAAUCACGAACGAUACUCUGAAAUAAGUAUCUAAAGGAGGAUUUAGCAGUAAGCAGAAAAUAGAGCGUUCCGCUGAAACCGGCCCUGAAGCGCGCACACACCGCCCGUCACUCUCCCCGAGCUUAAUAAACUCAACUAACUAAAACCCUGUAACUACAAAGGGGAGGCAAGUCGUAACAUGGUAAGUGUACCGGAAGGUGCACUUGGAAAAAU
RNAcentral lists this ribosomal RNA (364 nucleotides) under Siganus virgatus (barhead spinefoot). Its description in RNAcentral is "partial 12S ribosomal RNA". It matches the Rfam family "Bacterial small subunit ribosomal RNA", at positions 971 to 1533 of the family's 1533-position model. The record is from RNAcentral. Lineage: Eukaryota; Metazoa; Chordata; Actinopteri; Siganidae.